This 406-nucleotide ribosomal RNA is filed under the name uncultured bacterium. RNAcentral describes it as "partial 16S ribosomal RNA". It matches the Rfam family "Bacterial small subunit ribosomal RNA", at positions 30 to 526 of the family's 1533-position model. The record is from RNAcentral.
AUUGAACGCUGGCGGCAGGCCUAACACAUGCAAGUCGAACGAGUGGCGGACGGGUGAGUAAUGUCUGGGAAACUGCCUGAUGGAGGGGGAUAACUACUGGAAAAGGUAGCUAAUACCGCAUACCAUCAGAUGGACCCAGAUGGGAUUAGCUAGUAGGUGGGGUAACGGCUCACCAAGGCGACGAUCCCUAGCUGGUCUGAGAGGAUGACCAGCCACACUGGGACUGAGACACGGUCCAGACUCCUACGUGAGGCAGCAGUGGGGAAUAUUGCACCAUGGGCGCAAGCCUGAUGCAGCCAUGCCGCGUGUAUGAAGAAGGCCUUCGGGUUGUAAAGUACUUUCAGCCGGGAGGCGUUACCCGCAGAAGAAGCACCGGCUAACUCCGUGCCAGCCGCCGCGGUAAUAC